AGAGUUUGAUCAUGGCUCAGGACGAACGCUGGCGGCGUGCUUAACACAUGCAAGUCGAACGAUGAUGCCCAGCUUGCUGGGCGGAUUAGUGGCGAACGGGUGAGUAACACGUGAGUAACCUGCCCUUGACUUCGGGAUAACUCCGGGAAACCGGGGCUAAUACCGGAUAUGAGCCGUCCUCGCAUGGGGGUGGUUGGAAAGUUUUUCGGUCAGGGAUGGGCUCGCGGCCUAUCAGCUUGUUGGUGGGGUGAUGGCCUACCAAGGCGACGACGGGUAGCCGGCCUGAGAGGGCGACCGGCCACACUGGGACUGAGACACGGCCCAGACUCCUACGGGAGGCAGCAGUGGGGAAUAUUGCACAAUGGGCGAAAGCCUGAUGCAGCGACGCCGCGUGAGGGAUGAAGGCCUUCGGGUUGUAAACCUCUUUCAGCAGGGAAGAAGCGCAAGUGACGGUACCUGCAGAAGAAGCGCCGGCUAACUACGUGCCAGCCGCCGCGGUAAUUC
This 504-nucleotide ribosomal RNA is filed under the name uncultured bacterium. RNAcentral's name for it is "bacterial SSU rRNA". It matches the Rfam family "Bacterial small subunit ribosomal RNA", at positions 8 to 526 of the family's 1533-position model. The record is from RNAcentral.